Long non-coding RNA from Penaeus chinensis, 564 nucleotides. RefSeq lists it as uncharacterized. The transcript has 2 exons. Lineage: Eukaryota; Metazoa; Arthropoda; Malacostraca; Decapoda; Penaeidae. The record is from RefSeq and is a predicted model, not a curated record.
AUUUUCCGCUUAUGUGUUGGAAGUAUUUGUAAUUCUUUACCUAGUUGCGUCUUGUGUUUUUUAUGCUUUAUUAGAAGAAAAAGAUCGUUCACUAUGCCAAGCUGCCUGGAGUUUCCACAUAUGAAUUAUGGAGAAAGAUAAGAUUUGAUAAAUAAAUUAUUAUAAUGAAUUUAACAUCUAGAAAAAGUGUAACGCAUAGACACUUUCGCUCCUGUGGACACGACAAAUUCAAAUUCGUCAAAACAGGAAAGACGCAGUACAUCACAUCCAGGAAAGUGGUCUUGGCCAGUGGCGUCACGAGGGAGGUGGUGUGGAAAGUUGCAGACUGCACCGAGUGACGCGCUCAGGCCUCAAGCCACUGGAGGAGCAAGCACAUAAAGAAGCGUGCUCUUCACCUUACCUCCAGGCGUAGGCGACCAGACACUGAGGAUCUUUGUGUAGCCUGGGCGUAGGGCAUGUGGCACUGACGGCAUCCCUAUGGCAUGUGAAGAGGAGGGAAAAUAUAGUGACAUGUUCCCUUGAUCUCUCUCGCCUCACAUACUAAAAAAAAGCCCUCUGCUUCCA